UACGAAGGGCCCGAGCGUUGCGCGGAAUCAUUGGGCUUAAAGCGUGCGUAGGCGGAUCGUCAAGCGUCUUGUGAAAUCCCCCGGCUCAACCGGGGAACUGCAGGGCGAACUGGCGAUCUUGAGGUCGGUAGGGGUCAUCGGAACGCUCGGUGGAGCGGUGAAAUGCGUAGAUAUCGAGCGGAACGCCAAAGGCGAAGGCAGAUGACUGGGCCGAUUCUGACGCUGAGGCACGAAAGCGUGGGGAGCGAACGGG
Molecule: unclassified non-coding RNA, 253 nt
Filed under: uncultured Phycisphaeraceae bacterium
Lineage: Bacteria; Pseudomonadati; Planctomycetota; Phycisphaerae; Phycisphaerales; Phycisphaeraceae
Description: contains 16S-23S intergenic spacer region
Rfam family: Bacterial small subunit ribosomal RNA
Source: RNAcentral